GAACACCUGGAUAAAGAAAAUGUGGCACAUACACAGCAUGGAAUACUAUGCAGCCAUAAAUAAGGAUGAAUUCAUGUCCUUUGCAGGGACAUGGAUGAAGCUGGAAAACAUCAUUCUCAGCAAACUAAGCUAUUCACAGAUCAUCAUCAGCCAGAGGUGACUUCUGUUGCUUGCAGCUCAGAAUCCUAGAUGUUUCCGGUGGCACUGAAGAGCCUCUGCUGAAGCUCUAUACCAUUUGCCAUUUACAAAGGGAAAUGAAAUAAUAACGCUGACCAUUUGUGGAGCACAUUCUGUCUGGAGGCAAAGGAUGCCAAGAUGGGAAAGCCACAUAAUGGAAGGAUCCUGGAUUUCAGAGCUGUCACUUGGAGGAGGGGCACCCAGUGAAGGUGUCUUAUCUAACCCACACCAUAUCUUCAUGAAGUGGCCAUAUGGAUUUGAUCCCUAUCCUUCAGAGGUGCUCAGCCUAAGGGAACACGGAUAGUAGAUUAAGCACUGACCAGGGGUAUAAAUCCUGCCUUCUCUCAGCCUUACAGAGGAAGAAAACCCUUUCCAAGUUUCCUCUGAUACUGGGUUUAUGCCCAAUUAUAGUUUAGGCAUGAAGAAACUGAAGCAUGGAGGAAAAACUUAGCAACUAGCCCAACGUCACACAGGCAAGCCAGCCUUGACAAUGUGCUGAUGGCAACCUAGAACAUAAGCAGAGGAGUAUACAGGACAAGAACUUGAUGGUCUCGGGAA
Molecule: long non-coding RNA, 735 nt
Filed under: Homo sapiens (human)
Lineage: Eukaryota; Metazoa; Chordata; Mammalia; Primates; Hominidae
Description: PROX1 antisense RNA 1
Source: RNAcentral